RNAcentral lists this unclassified non-coding RNA (277 nucleotides) under uncultured Inocybe. RNAcentral's name for it is "partial contains 5.8S ribosomal RNA, internal transcribed spacer 2, and large subunit ribosomal RNA". The stretch from base 1 to 52 matches the Rfam family "5.8S ribosomal RNA", at positions 103 to 154 of the family's 154-position model. The record is from RNAcentral. Lineage: Eukaryota; Fungi; Basidiomycota; Agaricomycetes; Agaricales; Cortinariaceae.
AACGCAACUUGCGCUCCUUGGUACUCUGAGGAGCAUGCCUGUUUGAGUGUCAUUAAACUUCUUCUCAACCCAUCCAGUUUCUCUGUGUGUGGGCUUUGGACAAUGGGGGCUUGCUGGUUGCUAUUUUUCCAGCUCUCCUGAAAAGCAUUAGCGGCAUCUGGGCUGCUUGCAGGUGUGAUAACUCGUCUACACCUUUGCAGUGGCUGCAUUUGUGCUGCUUUAGAGGGCAUUGAUGAAAUUUGACCUCAAAUCAGGUAGGACUACCCGCUGAACUUAA